RNAcentral lists this ribosomal RNA (440 nucleotides) under uncultured bacterium. RNAcentral's name for it is "partial 16S ribosomal RNA". It matches the Rfam family "Bacterial small subunit ribosomal RNA", at positions 338 to 795 of the family's 1533-position model. The record is from RNAcentral.
CCUACGGGAGACAGCAGUAGGGAAUAUUGCUCAAUGGGGGAAACUCUGAAGCAGCAAUGCCGCGUGGAGGAUGAAGGUUUUCGGAUUGUAAACUCCUUUUGUUAGAGAAGAUAAUGACGGUAUCUAACGAAUAAGCACCGGCUAACUCCGUGCCAGCAGCCGCGGUAAUACGGAGGGUGCAAGCGUUACUCGGAAUCACUGGGCGUAAGGCGCGCGUAGGCGGGAUAGCAAGUCAGAUGUGAAAUCCUAUGGCUUAACCAUAGAACUGCAUUUGAAACUGUUAUACUAGAGUAUGGGAGAGGUAGGUGGAAUGCAUGGUGUAGCGGUAAAAUCCUUAGAGAUCAAAAAGAAUACUCAUUGCGAAGGCAACCUACUAGAACAUAACUGACGCUGAUGCACGAAAGCGUGGGGAGCAAACAGGAUUAGAUACCCGAGUAGUC